This 6661-nucleotide long non-coding RNA is filed under the name Fragaria vesca (wild strawberry). RNAcentral's name for it is "long non-coding RNA (FVES_LNC001008)". The record is from RNAcentral. Lineage: Eukaryota; Viridiplantae; Streptophyta; Magnoliopsida; Rosales; Rosaceae.
AGUCAUGACGUCAUCUCUGUGAACAAGUUACAUAUGAUGACUAAAUCUUAGGAUGCUGAUAGUUCACUCAUUGUCUGGUUCACCUUUAUCUCUGAGUGUGAAUUAGUAGUUUUUAAUAGAAUUUCGUAUAGAUUCAGUGUUGUUUGUUUAGCUUCAGUUUAACAUAUGGGGUGCUAUAGGUUCUCUGUCACUUUCUAGGAAAAUGAGUCAAAUGUUGCAUCAUUUAUUUGCCAUAGUCAACAUCAGUAUUUCUAUCAUAACUUCAUAAGUACGACACCACAUAAGAUGGUAUAUCAUUUUUCUCAUCGUUAAUAUUUUCAAUACUUGAAACAAAAGGUAAUAAAAGAAAGUGUUGUAGACACUUGAGAAUCAUGAGUUUUUUUUAACCUUAAACAGAUAACCUGCUGAACUUUGUUUUAAUUAUUUUCUUAGGUUGAGCUUCAGCUUUUAUAAAAAGGGAAAGUUCCCUAAUUAGAGUGGCACCUUCGACUUUAUCUUGCUUCCUUUUUUGUUUGUGUUUUUUCUUUCUUCUUUUUUCUUUGUAUAAAAAAACUUCAGUUUUUAAGACAGAGAAACAAGGUCUGUAUAAGGGAAUCCAUGGCAAUGGCUGAGAAGCAUAAUACAGAAACACAGAUUAGCAACCAUUAGACAAAGUAGUCAGCCUCACUCCACAGCAGCUAACAGAGACAUCCUAAUAGAAGCAAGGGAAUAAUCCCUAAAAACAAUGGUACCUGGUGCUCAUAAUGCAGAUCAACAUGUUGCAAUUGAUCCCAAAAAAUAUUUUGUGCCCACCCCUCAUCUACCCUCAAAAGUUACUGCUACACCCCAUCCAUAAAGCCCAAAAGCAACGUGCAAGUCCAUAGUGCUUUAGCUUUCUUCCUUUUUCCCGAAGCCUGGAUACAAGUGCUUAAGACUCCUUUGAAAUAACCUGACUAGCUCCAGCCUCCCUAAGCAACUUUCACCAUAAUUAGAAGGAUUAAGGGCACUAGAGAAGAACAUUCAAGCUCUGCCGCCCAGCUUUACAUGAAAUGCUUUGAUUUGUACAAGAUCACAUCUGUUGACCUCGCAAGAGCAACCAACCAAACAGACACUCUUACUUUUGGAGGGACCUUGAACAGUUUGGCUGAUUUGUCAUUGUUUUGUGCAUUAACUGGAGUUCAGACAGACUGGCUACCUUUUCACUCUGUUUCGAGAUCUAUCCUCCUAUUCUUUUUUUUUUUGAAUAAAAAAAGUCACCCGGUGGGAAUCCUCCUAUCUUUGAUAUAUGUGGAAUGAAGAUUGUAAAUUAACUGAGCUUAAUUAGAAUCUGUGAACUAUAGGCAUUUCUGAUCCAGUAAUAUUAACUGUGAAAUUCUCAACCUACCGAUACUUUUUUCUUUGCCAACAGGAUGAGGUGUUGUAUGAAGUCAAUGCAAAUACUGAAAGUUGGAUGGUAGCUGGGAGGAAAAGAGGGCACAUCACUCUCUCUGCAAAUGAAGGUUUAUGAAUUACUUAGUUCUAUGUAUUUGUUUAGAAAUUCCCUAUUUGAUUUUUCCAAGGAGAUUAUCUUCUGGCUCAUAAAUAAGAUACCUGUUUUCUUCAUCUCUUUGUUAUAACACCUUCCUGAAUGUAUUUUACCACUGACAGGUUCAAGGAUAGAGAUUUCAAUACUAUGUGUGCCUCUGGUGGCGGGAUAUGUUCGUCCCCCUCAUCUUGGUCUGCCAGAUGUUGAUGAAUCAAAUAUAAGUUGCAAUCCAGCAGGGCCUCAUUUGGUUUGUGUCUUGCCUCCAACUUUGAGUUCUUCUUUCUGCAUUCCUGCAUGAUUUCUCUCAGCAAAUUUUUUCCUCUCCUGGAUUCAAAGUUGCCUAAAUUUGAGCUCAUCAUAAUUUGCACUCUGUACGGUCAGUGGGACAUGUUCCAGAUACGGUAAUAGAGAUAAACAUAGGUUUCCCAUUUUGAUAUAUACUGGGAAUUUGUAAAGAUGUAAACUCCUGUUUCAUCAGAUAGUUGGAAAAUCAGCUUAGCUGGAACUAGUUUGCAUUAGGAAGAUUCUUCAAACAUUCACUGUGUCCUACACUCCUAUGUCACUUGACAUCCUGCCUUCUGUAUAGCGGAAUUUGUAUUUUCUGUACAACUCAGUCCUAGAGAGAUGCGUAGCAGGACAUUCAUUUUUUGGUUGGUUGUAAAAUUCUUUGUUUUGAUGGAACAUGGAAUUCAGUAGUUUAAAUGAUAGUGCUGGAAAGGUUAUUUGAUUUGUUCGAGGGCUCAGUUGAUGUUAUGGAAGCCAAUGCUGUCAUCUCGUUUCUGGUAAAUGUUAGUAAUUGCUAUGUUUGAUGAAAAUCAACAAAGCUUAUGUGGACUUGAUACUAUAAUCUUGACAAUCUGCAACUCUUGGAACCGGCCGCCCCUGAGAAACAUGUUUUCACGUACUAGUUCACGAGCAUAUUCCAAUCCUCAGAACGCCUUCAAAUACAGAACCGAGAGGAAGUGAAGAAUUUUCAAAUGGUAAUUUUUGUUCGCAAAACCCUUGCAGAUACAACUUUAUUAUGUUUGGGAGACGGGUCUGGUUCAAUGGACCUUUUAUAUAACACAUCGUGUGUAGUUCUACUAGUUUAUUGUACCAGAUACUCACUGAGAGAACAAAAAUAAUAAUUUAAAUACGUCUCGAUGAAACUUUAAAAUACAAACAUGUUGAGUUAUGAGAAGAAAAAAAGAACUAGAAACCUUAACCGACAGAUUGCAUUUCUAUUAUCUCUCUUGAUUCAAGCAAAGAAUACAAAGCAAAAGGAUAAUUCUGAGUUUCACACUUUCACCUAUUUUGAACUCCUCUUAGAAGUUCCAACAAAAUAGUUAUGAUUUCAUGUUUGCUUUGAUCACCAGAAAGGGAACAAAUGCUAUGAUGAAGUGAGAAAAUGAAAUAAUAGUCAAAGGUUCUGUGAUCAUGAAAGUUUAAAAGCGAUUUCCACCUCCAGAAAAGAAAGUGAAUAAAAAGGUCUCUGGUUCCAAUUUCCAAAUACUGCACAAGAAAGGAAAAAAAGGUCCCACCGAGAUUUGAACUCGGGUUACUGGAUUCAGAGUCCAAUGUCCUGACCACUAGACCAUGGGACCAUUGCGGUUACAUCUUUCCUAUAAACGGUUAUAAAUAUUGAAAAAUAUCGUGUGAGAUAAUUUUCUAAAAAAAAAUAAAAGUAAAUAGACAAUCAGAUACACCUGAGGCAUGCAAACCGCAUUCAGAAAAGUAUGAUAAAGUAGUUUAUUAUUGUCUCAACAUCGAAAUUCAAUCAUACCAAAUUAGCAUGCUAUACAUUUGGUUUUAAGCCAGGGCCCAACCUACAUGAGGUACGAAGACCUGAGGCGAAUCUUGAGAAUGAUGUCUUCUAAGUUUUAACGGUCAUAUAUAUGACAAAAAAAAACAAUGACUGUUGCAAAAAAAAUAAAAAAUUUCGCCGAUUACAUACAAAAUACGUAUAAACACAAUAACUAUGCAAUCUUGAAUAUAAAUGUAUGAAAUAUUCUAAUAUUGGUCAAGUAUAAUCAACACGAAAAACCGAGAAAGAAGAAAAAAUCUAAGAUUUUUAUGAAAAUUAUAUAUAUGUAUAUAUAAAGAGAAAUUUUAUUAACACAUUCCUAAUUACUAGAUACACACAUACCAUACUUAAUACAUCACCUAUUAACUUUAUUAUUUUAACAUUUUACUAGAUACACAUACCCAAAUUUCUUACAAUACCCUCAUUUAAAAUAUACAACUUAUUCACUAAAUACACAACUCAUUCACUAAAUACACAUACUUUUCUAGAUAUGCUACUUAAUUUAUUAAAAGAAAAUUCACAUUAAUGAGAUCUCUUGCGUCACUAGGACACCGAUUUGGCUUGAGAUCUCUCUCAUUGAGUUAGAUCAAUGGCAAGCAAACUAGAAGAGUAUAUAUAUAUAAUUGUAUAUAGCACCAUCCUAAGUUCUAGUUUGGUGUUCAAAUGUAAAUGCUUUUGAACCUAGCAUGUGUGAACAGUAAAAAAUAAAAUUUUCCAACUUCAAUUUGUACCGUCUAAUCAAACAACAAACCCUAUAAUCUAAAUUUUCUAGUAGAUCAAUUUUUAUCAAAGAUAGAGAAGUCAUACCUUGUUUAAGGGUUGAGAAAUACCCCUGGAAUCCAUUACAUUGUCUUUAGUUUUUGCUUGAAACUAUGGCUGUCGCUAGCUAUUUCUGAUUAGGGUUUGAUAUCUUCACAUACGUUGUUCUUGUAGAGGAGAAUAAUAGUCUUAAGCGGGUAUUUUUUUUUUUUAAACUAGGUUUCUUUACUUUUGAUAUAAAUGUCUCUUUUGGUAAUUUUAUGUACCUACAAAGUCUUAUCUAAUUUAUAUAAAAAAUAAUAUGUAUAUAACACUUAGGGAUGUGUUGAUAAAAUUUCUCAUAUAUAAUUUUUUUUUGAUGUCCUCGAAUUUGUAGUGCAUGAGGCCGCGGCCUCUCAGCCUCUUAGGCCUCCCCUCAGGUACAGACCUGGUUUAAGCAAUAACCAAUAAGAGUGUACACACCACCAAUCUGGCUGGGGUUGGGACCGGUCGGCUCUUAUCAAGAAGAUAAUUUCCAUAACCUUCAUACAUAUAUCUCACUUCUCUCAUCAUCUGCAUCCCCGAUCUUUACGCUAGCUGCGCGCGAUGGUGUGCUCUAAGAACUUUGAGAUUUCCAUCCCUAUAGCUAGCUCUCUCAUGAAUCUCAUUCCUUAGCUCUUUCUCCUUCGGUAUUUCACUAGCACCUCUACACCUGUGCUUUUUGCGUCUCCCUGAUCCUUACGGAAUCGAACAAUGAACAUAUAUAGAUUAGCCAGAUCCUAGAUUUAUAAGUGCAUGGUGCCAAACUCAUGCCCUGUAGAUCAAGAGUGGAAUAGGUACACAAGAGAAUUGGAUGCCUUUGAUCCAUGCCAUAUGCCCAGUACGUGUCCCUUUCCUCUCUCACUUGAUCGACCUCAUAACCCUCCUGCAUGAGAACCAACUUCGUCGGAAAGGCUAAUGACCAAAGGGUUUUCUCCUCAAAUACUGAAAUAUAUGUCGCAUCUCAAUUGGCUUCAGUCACAGUUACAUGCCCGUGACCAACGCAAAGUAAUUCUACCGCAGAAUUCUUUCACGAUGAUAAUCCGCCAACAUCCCAACUCCAACUCUCAGCUCAAGUAACUGUCAUGCAUGUCUUUGAAUAUUCUGCGAUAAGAUUUAGUGUGGACAUUGAGGUCUCAUAUAUAUUUUGGGGUUUUGAUUAUUUUCCCCACCUAAUGUACGUAUGGUGUCUCAAACUACACCAUGAUUCUAUAUAUGCUUAUAUGACCACAAUUGAUGAAGAUUGUACCCAGUAUGUUGAUCAUGAAAUGGAUUUAUAACAACCAGAUUAAUACUAGAACCUAAUUCCAAAUACCCGAGAAAGUUAUCUAAGAACUUCCCCAAUGAACUCAUUUCCAUUAUUCCGAUCUUCGCUUCCCAGUUUAAUUCAUUUCCUUAUUGUCAUUUGCUCUAGGAUGGCGACUAGACAACAACAUGAGUAAUGAAUCCACUUUAUCAUCAUAAAAACCAAUAUGUUCUCAACCAAAUUCCACGCUAGCUAUGGAAUUAGUUCUUUCAACCAAAAAGUAUGAAGAAAGUAUUAAAAAGAUGACAAUGACACAAUUAGCAUAAGAAAACUUUCGAACUUACACUAAUAAGAGAAAAAAGAAACUAGUGAAACCUUCAAUUUUGCUUUCCGAAAUCAUGACCGAAAAUUCUUUUUUGGUUACUCCAAACAUAUGCGCAUUCUGAUAGUUUGAGAUUUAGCUUGUAGCUUAUUAUUUUCUGUAGUAACUCAAAGUUUUAUUACUCAAAUUUUGUUACUAUUUUUUUUUUAAAAUGAUAAGAAUAAUUUUGGUCUAUGCAUGGUCCCAAAACAAAAGAAAAAAAAAAUGUAAAACAGGUGUUGGAUUGAAGUGUGAUGAAUGAAAGAGGGUUACCAAAAUAAUUGGGACAAUUCACAUGCUCCAUUAUUUAUAGAGAAUCAUAGAGAUGGAUAUAUAGAUAUAGAGAGAGUGGACACGAGGCCACGAUAUGGCACAUGCUGCAAUUAAAUUGUCUCAAGAAUUGCCAAUAUUAUCACAGCAAUCGCUACUACUUACAUUUCAUAUGAGUCACACAAGUCACACACUAUAUAUCAACUAUAUAUAAGGACCUCAUGUAUGACUAAAUAUCUAAUCUCUGUCUCUCAAUUGAAAAAUACCAAUUAGCAUUUCAAAAUAUAAUACCAAUUUGCAGUCAGCGCUGUCAUCGGAUCAUAGAGUGGUUCACUGAAAGAAUCAAUGAAAAAUGUGUUGCAUCUAAAAUCUGCUAAGCUAGCUUUGUUGGAGUUGGCUUCACUUAAACAACAGCAUUCCAACUAGAGAAAAUUAGAUAAAAACCCAAAAUGUUAGAUCUCUUUUAAGAUAAACCCAUAAAUAGUUUUCUUUUAUUUUACACCCACUCCACAUAAGCAAACAUACCAUAUAGAGCAAAUGUCUAUAAUUAAUAGUUUUCUUCAUUUUUCGGUUUCUCUAAUUUGCCUUUCAGACAGUAGAAAGCUAAAUUUGGUAUAUUUCUCAAUUUUAGCAUCAAUUUGAAACUCAAACACUAGCUAAAAUUUAGUUAGAUUUAACUUCGUCAUAAUCAAUUACAUUCUUUAAUUUCUUACCUUGUUA